Prionailurus viverrinus (fishing cat) is the source of this 578-nucleotide long non-coding RNA. RefSeq lists it as uncharacterized. The record is from RefSeq and is a predicted model, not a curated record. Lineage: Eukaryota; Metazoa; Chordata; Mammalia; Carnivora; Felidae. The transcript is spliced from 4 exons.
UUCUUAAAACAACAGUGGAAAGAGCGGACAUUAACAUCUUCUUAAGUCAAGUCUGAGACAAAAAGAGUGUGUCCGGGACACCAAAUCCAGUUAUUGAGCGGGGUGCCUCCAUACUAGACUGACCAGGCACACAUCAAGCUACACUCGCUCCCUGACCAACACCACCAGCCUUUCUUGGAUCGGGUCUACAGACUCCUGGGCAGCCAAUCACAAACUUUUGGAAGGACAAGACUGAAAAUACAACAAACAACCUUGAGAGAAGGCCUGAAAGAGCCAAAAGAAUGCAAGUUAAUAAAGACAGUGAAUAAAAAAAGAACACAGAGCCUUCCAGUUAGGAUGUGAAAAGCUGGAAAGAACAUGGCUCCAACCUUAACAAUUAUUAGGAAAACUGAAGAAACUACAAAAUCACAAUUUAUUGAGCCGCUAAGAAGGCAGAGGCAGUGAGACAGCCACACCCACUGAAGUGAGCGGGGACAGAACAGGAGUACAGUGUGCUUCUCGUCCCUACCAGGUGCUCACAAGCCUGGACUGAGGGCAGGACAGAGAGAAAGCUUCCAACCUGGUGAGGCCAGGAGAAG